UUUCCUACGGGAGGCAGCAGUGGGGAAUUUUGGACAAUGGGCGCAAGCCUGAUCCAGCCAUGCCGCGUGCAGGAUGAAGGCCUUCGGGUUGUAAACUGCUUUUGUACGGAACGAAAAGGUGCCUUCUAAUAAAGGGCGCUCAUGACGGUACCGUAAGAAUAAGCACCGGCUAACUACGUGCCAGCAGCCGCGGUAAUACGUAGGGUGCAAGCGUUAAUCGGAAUUACUGGGCGUAAAGCGUGCGCAGGCGGUUUUGUAAGACAGAGGGGAAAUCCCCGGGCUCAACCUGGGAACUGCCUUUGUGACUGCAAGGCUGGAGUGCGGCAGAGGGGGAUGGAAUUCCGCGUGUAGCAGUGAAAUGCGUAGAUAUGCGGAGGAACACCGAUGGCGAAGGCAAUCCCCUGGGCCUGCACUGACGCUCAUGCACGAAAGCGUGGGGAGCAAACAGGAUUAGAUACCCGAGUAGUC
RNAcentral lists this ribosomal RNA (468 nucleotides) under uncultured Comamonadaceae bacterium. RNAcentral describes it as "bacterial SSU rRNA". It matches the Rfam family "Bacterial small subunit ribosomal RNA", at positions 335 to 795 of the family's 1533-position model. The record is from RNAcentral. Lineage: Bacteria; Pseudomonadati; Pseudomonadota; Betaproteobacteria; Burkholderiales; Comamonadaceae.